UCUUUCAGAUGAAUACAAUCUAAGUUAUUUAAAAAAAUGUCCUGCCUCUUCCAAGGUUUAUAAUGGCAUGAAUGGUGAAUGGGUGUUAUUUUUUAA
This is a long non-coding RNA of Sinocyclocheilus grahami, 96 nucleotides long. RefSeq lists it as uncharacterized. The transcript has 3 exons. Lineage: Eukaryota; Metazoa; Chordata; Actinopteri; Cypriniformes; Cyprinidae. The record is from RefSeq and is a predicted model, not a curated record.